This 244-nucleotide ribosomal RNA is filed under the name uncultured bacterium. RNAcentral describes it as "partial 16S ribosomal RNA". It matches the Rfam family "Bacterial small subunit ribosomal RNA", at positions 90 to 334 of the family's 1533-position model. The record is from RNAcentral.
CGAUAGUGGCGCACGGGUGCGUAACGCGUAACCAACCUGCCCUUGACUGGGGGAUAGCCCGCCGAAAGGCGGAUUAAUACCGCAUAAAAUAACGAUUUGGCAUCAAGUUGUUAUUAAAGAUUUAUUGGUCAAGGAUGGGGUUGCGUGCCAUUAGCUAGUUGGGGGGGUAACGGCCCACCAAGGCGACGAUGGCUAGGGGAGCUGAGAGGCUGGUCCCCCACACGGGCACUGAGAUACGGGCCCG